UACAGAGGGGGCAAGCGUUGUUCGGAAUUACUGGGCGUAAAGGGCGCGUAGGCGGCCUGUUAAGUCGAACGUGAAAUCCCCGGGCUCAACCCGGGAACUGCGUCCGAUACUGGCAGGCUUGAAUCCGGGAGAGGGAUGCGGAAUUCCAGGUGUAGCGGUGAAAUGCGUAGAUAUCUGGAGGAACACCGGUGGCGAAGGCGGCAUCCUGGACCGGCAUUGACGCUGAGGCGCGAAAGCCAGGGGGAGCGAACAGG
This 254-nucleotide ribosomal RNA is filed under the name uncultured bacterium. Its description in RNAcentral is "partial 16S ribosomal RNA". It matches the Rfam family "Bacterial small subunit ribosomal RNA", at positions 524 to 776 of the family's 1533-position model. The record is from RNAcentral.